GGUCCUGUGGUGUAGUGGUUAACAUGCCUGCCUGUCACGCAGGAGAUCGCCGGUUCGACCCCGGUCGGGACCGCCA
This 76-nucleotide transfer RNA is filed under the name Bacillus anthracis (anthrax bacterium). RNAcentral's name for it is "tRNA-Asp". It matches the Rfam family "tRNA". From Rfam's summary of the family: Transfer RNA (tRNA) molecules are approximately 80 nucleotides in length. Their secondary structure includes four short double-helical elements and three loops (D, anti-codon, and T loops). Further hydrogen bonds mediate the characteristic L-shaped molecular structure. tRNAs have two regions of fundamental functional importance: the anti-codon, which is responsible for specific mRNA codon recognition, and the 3' end, to which the tRNAs corresponding amino acid is attached (by aminoacyl-tRNA synthetases). tRNAs cope with the degeneracy of the genetic code in two manners: having more than one tRNA (with a specific anti-codon) for a particular amino acid; and 'wobble' base-pairing, i.e. permitting non-standard base-pairing at the 3rd anti-codon position. RNAcentral also lists the same sequence under 6 other names. The record is from RNAcentral. Lineage: Bacteria; Bacillati; Bacillota; Bacilli; Caryophanales; Bacillaceae.